RNAcentral lists this ribosomal RNA (253 nucleotides) under uncultured bacterium. RNAcentral describes it as "partial 16S ribosomal RNA". It matches the Rfam family "Bacterial small subunit ribosomal RNA", at positions 524 to 776 of the family's 1533-position model. The record is from RNAcentral.
UACGUAGGGUGCAAGCGUUAAUCGGAAUUACUGGGCGUAAAGCGUGCGCAGGCGGUUUUGUAAGUCUGUCGUGAAAGCCCCGGGCUUAACCUGGGAAUUGCGAUGGAGACUGCAAGGCUUGAAUCUGGCAGAGGGGGGUAGAAUUCCACGUGUAGCAGUGAAAUGCGUAGAGAUGUGGAGGAACACCGAUGGCGAGGGCAGCCCCCUGGGUCAAGAUUGACGCUCAUGCACGAAAGCGUGGGGAGCAAACAGG